Molecule: non-coding RNA, 26 nt
Filed under: Rattus norvegicus (Norway rat)
Lineage: Eukaryota; Metazoa; Chordata; Mammalia; Rodentia; Muridae
Source: RNAcentral
UAGCAGUUGAUUGCCCAGGGCCCUGC